This 284-nucleotide unclassified non-coding RNA is filed under the name Athalia rosae (coleseed sawfly). Its description in RNAcentral is "misc RNA ENSAEAG00005005508.1". The record is from RNAcentral. Lineage: Eukaryota; Metazoa; Arthropoda; Insecta; Hymenoptera; Athaliidae.
GUAAUUGCAUUCUUGGUCUCCCGAAAAAAAACAGUCAGAGGAUCAGAGGCUACAGUCUCCAGACAUUUGCAAUUUUGGGGGCUGGACAAUGGAACUAAGCAACAGUGAAGCUACGUGUCAGUUUUAUCUGAAUAUGGAUACAGCGUCUCAAUGGCAAAUGCAGAAGAAUCGGUAUACAGAAUUUCCCAGGUGAUUGAUGACACUGUUUGUUGGUAGCCAAGGUGAUUGAAUAGUUCAUGAGGAAAUUGCGAGAAUAGGAGAGAAUUGAUGACAGUUCGCAAUGG